This 561-nucleotide long non-coding RNA is filed under the name Citrus sinensis (sweet orange). Its description in RNAcentral is "long non-coding RNA (CSIN_LNC003985)". The record is from RNAcentral. Lineage: Eukaryota; Viridiplantae; Streptophyta; Magnoliopsida; Sapindales; Rutaceae.
AAAAUACUCAAUCACAAAAUAAUUUCAUCAUAACCAAACUCUUUCUUUUAACCUUUUUUAAAAGAUAAAACCAUUCUUUCAUACCAUUUUACAAAAUUAGCCACCACCCACGUACAUUAAGUUGAUUUUGAUUCCUUUGUAAAGAUACAAUUAUUGCACAGUUUGGAUUUCGGGGUCCAUAAAUUCUGAAAAAAAAAAAACAAACAACAAACGGUUCUGAAACCGAUUAAUUCUCUCCACGUAAGCACGUUAUCCUGUUGAAAAAAGAAACCAUAAUCUCUGUCACAAAUUUUUUAAAACUAUCAUUAGUAAUUGGAUUUUUACUUAAAUUAAAAUUAGUCCGAUGACUUUCACAUCUUGAGGACCUAAAAAUUACACAAUUUUUUUUAUUUUUGGGGCAUGGCACGGCAUGACAAGUGAUCUGAUUAAAUUCACAGUUGUGCGUAUAGAAUAACGAGAAGAAGAUUAAAAUAUAAUACCUAGGGUAGGCAAAUGAUAUGGCUGAAUUUUCAGAGUUUUGAUUCCAAGCAGCCAAGCAGCCAUGUUCUGAUUCUUGUCUCC